Molecule: ribosomal RNA, 740 nt
Filed under: uncultured archaeon
Lineage: Archaea
Description: bacterial SSU rRNA
Rfam family: Archaeal small subunit ribosomal RNA
Source: RNAcentral
UUCCGGUUGAUCCCGCCGGACCCGACUGCUAUCAGAGUGGGACUAAGCCAUGCGAGUCAACAUAGCAAUAUGUGGCAUACGGCUCAGUAACACGUAGUCAACAUGCCCGGGGGACGUGGAUAACCUCGGGAAACUGAGGAUAAACCGCGAUAGGUCAUUACUUCUGGAAUGGGUAAUGACUUAAAUCUAUAUGGCCCCUGGAUUGGACUGCGGCCGAUCAGGCUGUUGGUGAGGUAAUGGCCCACCAAACCUGUAACCGGUACGGGCUCUGAGAGGAGGAGCCCGGAGAUGGGCACUGAGACAAGGGCCCAGGCCCUAUGGGGCGCAGCAGGCGCGAAACCUCUGCAAUAGGCGAAAGCUUGACAGGGUUACUCUGAGUGAUUUCCGUUAAGGAGAUCUUUUGGCACCUCUAAAAAUGGUGCAGAAUAAGGGGUGGGCAAGUCUGGUGUCAGCCGCCGCGGUAAUACCAGCACCCCGAGUGGUCGGGACGUUUAUUGGGCCUAAAGCAUCCGUAGCCGGUUCUACAAGUCUUCCGUUAAAUCCAGCCGCUCAACGGAUGGGCCGCGGAGGAUACUACAGGACUAGGAGGCGGGAGAGGCAAGCGGUACUCAGUGGGUAGGGGUAAAAUCCUUUGAUCCAUUGAAGACCACCAGUGGCGAAGGCGGCUUGCCAGAACGCGCUCGACGGUGAGGGAUGAAAGCUGGGGGAGCAAACCGGAUUAGAUACCCGGGUAGUCCCAG